This 760-nucleotide ribosomal RNA is filed under the name uncultured bacterium. RNAcentral's name for it is "bacterial SSU rRNA". It matches the Rfam family "Bacterial small subunit ribosomal RNA", at positions 62 to 819 of the family's 1533-position model. The record is from RNAcentral.
UCGAACGGAACUGUUUUGAAAGAUUUCUUCGGAAUGAAUUUGAUUUAGUUCAGUGGCGGACGGGUGAGUAACGCGUGAGUAACCUGCCUUCAAGAGGGGGAUAACAUUCUGAAAAGAAUGCUAAUACCGCAUGACAUAUCGGAAUCACAUGGUUUUGAUAUCAAAGAUUUUAUCGCUUGAAGAUGGACUCGCGUCCGAUUAGUUAGUUGGUGAGGUAACGGCUCACCAAGACCGCGAUCGGUAGCCGGACUGAGAGGUUGAACGGCCACAUUGGGACUGAGACACGGCCCAGACUCCUACGGGAGGCAGCAGUGGGGGAUAUUGCGCAAUGGGGGCAACCCUGACGCAGCAACGCCGCGUGAAGGAUGAAGGUUUUCGGAUUGUAAACUUCUUUUAUUAAGGACGAAAAAUGACGGUACUUAAUGAAUAAGCUCCGGCUAACUACGUGCCAGCAGCCGCGGUAAUACGUAGGGAGCAAGCGUUGUCCGGAUUUACUGGGUGUAAAGGGUGCGUAGGCGGCUUUGCAAGUCAGAUGUGAAAUCUAUGGGCUCAACCCAUAAACUGCAUUUGAAACUGUAGAGCUUGAGUGAAGUAGAGGCAGGCGGAAUUCCCCGUGUAGCGGUGAAAUGCGUAGAGAUGGGGAGGAACACCAGUGGCGAAGGCGGCCUGCUGGGCUUUAACUGACGCUGAGGCACGAAAGCGUGGGUAGCAAACAGGAUUAGAUACCCUGGUAGUCCACGCUGUAAACGAUGAUUACUAG